AGCCGUGUUCCCCUGGCCCCGGCUUGCUUUCUCUUUCUGCGUCUGUGUCUUUCCCUUAUCUCCCACUCAGUCUCAAGUUCACCACGCUGGUCCCCGCAGGCCCGACCUCUCCAGGCUGAGCAUCCACGGAGGCCGAAGCAGGAGCAGUGUCGAGGAGGUGCAGGGAGAGGGGGAGGCCAGGGCCCGGCCCCCAGCCCAGGAGCAGACAUGGCCAGAGCACCUGCCCUCGCCUCUCAGGUCCAGUCCUGCUGAGGGCCCAAGGCGCUGCACACUGGCACCCUUGAGAACAAAGCAGAAGAGGCCAGGCGCAGGGCAGGUGCAGGCCGAUGCCCCCAAAGCGUGAGCCUGGGAUGAGGGAGUGCACAAAGGACGCGCACAGACCUCGGCGGAAUCUCUGUCUUGCCUCUGAGAAAUUCUCCUAACAUCACUGUUUGUUGGCUGACUUUUGCCUUUUGGUACUUUGGGGUACUUUGCUCUCUUCAACGCAGGAAGGAGAGGAACUUGCUGCAGCCCCCAGGACGGAAAUUCAGGUGGAAAACAUGCCAGGUGCUGGGGAUGACGGCACCCGGGGCUUCGGCCGCUGUGGCCUGCAGGGACACUGUCCUCGAGAGGGUCGCAGCCAAGCCCCAGCUGGCACGGCCCUCAGGCGCUGCGCCUGGCUUCCUGUCGCUGGUGCAGGGCUGGUGUUUUCCCUGUUGGCUGCAGGUUUUCCUGCAGGCGACAGAGACCUGAGGGACAGCAGGACGCCCUCAUGGUGGCCGGAUCUGGCUUUCCCGGUGUCAGCGCUAAGGUCAGAGGGAGGCAGCAGCUUCCAUCCGCACAGUGGCCAGCAGGGCCGCCCGACCAGGACCCAGGCCCUGAACUCGGUCCCCGGCUCAGAGGCACAGCCCACCUCGGUCCAUCUGGUGGAGGCCGAGGCGGCUUCUCUCAAACCAGGCCCCCGGGAGCUAUGGGCUGGCCAUCCUGCUGCACCGCAGGGCCUCGGCUGGCACCUGCGUUCUGGGACAGACAGGUGGUUCCCGGGGUGUGGCAGCCUGGGGUCACCGUCUGGCGUAGGUGUGGACCCAAGGGAAAUGAAAACUGACAGCCACGUGGGUACUUCAUGCAGGGUCCCCAGCAGCACGGCUGUUCGCAGCUCCAGUGGACAGCCCAGCAGGGUGUGGUCUGUCCGGCAAGGUGGAGCGUUACUCACCCAUAAAAAGAAACAACGUUCUGACGGGCAUCCAACGUGCAUGAGCCUGGAAAAAACACGGUGCCUGGUGCAAAAGGCCGCCACCACACGUGAUUCCAUUGAUGCGAAAAUUCCUGACCAGGCCAAAGCACAGACGGGAGUGGGGGAGGGGUCCCCAGGGCUGGACGCACGGGCGUGGGGGCCAGACUAGUGACAAGCUCGCUGCUGCUUCUAGGGCUGCCGUGUCUUCUCAGGUGGGCCAGAGGCAGUUGCACACCCAAGCGAGAGGGCACCAAAAGCUGCAGGAAUUGUGCGCUCCGCUGGCGGCACGGGGAGGAGGCGGAGCUGCUGUGGGGUGCACAGCGUUGGAGCCACACGGGCGAAGGGUUUGCUGCCCUGGGACACAGUGAGCCGAGCUUAGCGAGCCCUGGGGUCCUCCUGGUGGGCAGGACCCUGCCCCACCCAGGCAGGGCGCUGCCGAAGAGGUUGGCACAGGGAUACCGGCCGCCUGUGUUGACGGGAAGGGCUGGGAUGGGCGCCCCACCCACUGACACUGGGGCCAUGGAUGGGACCCUGGCAGAGCCCGCAUGGCAUUAACAGCCGGCCCUGGCCUGGGAACGCCCAAGGUCCAAGGAGCUGCCAAUGCUCUUGGGGUGGCCACUCCUCAGCACCCUGGCUCACCCACUUCCCUGGGGGGAGUUGGCAGGCCUGGUGCUCGCAGCCCCUGUGUCCCGGGAGGACAGGAGGGGUCCAUGGUGGCUGGGCACCACCUCGGUGUUUGCAAAUCAAAUUCGGCUUGUGCUGACUAGGAGGGGCCCAAGAGCCCAGAAAAUGAGAGAAUUUAACCAAUAUUAGAAAAUCCCAAAUUCUUUGGUCCAAGUCCCAAAAAUACAUGAGAGGGAGACAUGCUCAUCAUAACCACUGCAGCAGGAAACGCCCCAGCCCCCCAGAGGCCUUGCCGCUGGCCUCAUGCUAUACCAUGAGAGGCCCCAGAGAGGGACGGGGUCCACGGGGAGGCCCGGUCUGUCCCUCCUUGCCCUGCCAUGGGCUCGGCAGGUCCUAAGGUGCUAAUGAAGUGUUUAUUCAGCUUUUCUUUUAUUUGAUCACUGUCUGGCCCCAGUGAGGCCAGGUAGUUCCCGCAGAGGGCGUGGCCCUGACCCGAGGCCACAGGCAGGCACCGCCCCUGGUGUCCACUGACGGCACCCCACUGUCUGCCCGAGGUUCACCCAGGGUCCCGGAUCUCGAGGCCUGAGGCCUCGUGUCCCCAGGUGCGUGGACACGCUGAUUCUCCCUGCCCUGUGGGUCAGCGCUGGACUUGCUCCUCUCCCCCUGGCUCCUUCACCUUCGGGCCUCCUGUCCUCCCUGG
Long non-coding RNA from Heterocephalus glaber (naked mole-rat), 2537 nucleotides. The record is from Ensembl. Lineage: Eukaryota; Metazoa; Chordata; Mammalia; Rodentia; Bathyergidae.